This 95-nucleotide microRNA precursor is filed under the name Cucumis sativus (cucumber). RNAcentral describes it as "pre miRNA mir-395". It matches the Rfam family "mir-395 microRNA precursor family". Rfam says of the family: mir-395 was identified in both Arabidopsis thaliana and Oryza sativa computationally and was later experimentally verified. mir-395 is thought to target mRNAs coding for ATP sulphurylases. Lineage: Eukaryota; Viridiplantae; Streptophyta; Magnoliopsida; Cucurbitales; Cucurbitaceae. The record is from Rfam by way of RNAcentral.
GCAUCUCCUAGAGUUCCCUUCCAAGCACUUCAGGAGAAAGUGUGAAGAAAUUGAUAUUUCUUUAGUGAAGUGUUUGGGGGAACUCUGGGUGUAAC